GGUUAAGCGACUAAGCGUACACGGUGGAUGCCCUGGCAGUCAGAGGCGAUGAAGGACGUGCUAAUCUGCGAUAAGCGUCGGUAAGGUGAUAUGAACCGUUAUAACCGGCGAUUUCCGAAUGGGGAAACCCAGUGUGAUUCGUCACACUAUCAUUAACUGAAUCCAUAGGUUAAUGAGGCGAACCGGGGGAACUGAAACAUCUAAGUACCCCGAGGAAAAGAAAUCAACCGAGAUUCCCCCAGUAGCGGCGAGCGAACGGGGAGAGCCCAGAGCCUGAAUCAGUGUGUGUGUUAGUGGAAGCGUCUGGAAAGGCGCGCGAUACAGGGUGACAGCCCCGUACAGCCCAGAGCCUGAAUCAGUGUGUGUGUUAGUGGAAGCGUCUGGAAAGGCGCGCGAUACAGGGUGACAGCCCCGUACACAAAAAUGCACAUACUGUGAGCUCGAUGAGUAGGGCGGGACACGUGGUAUCCUGUCUGAAUAUGGGGGGACCAUCCUCCAAGGCUAAAUACUCCUGACUGACCGAUAGUGAACCAGUACCGUGAGGGAAAGGCGAAAAGAACCCCGGCGAGGGGAGUGAAAAAGAACCUGAAACCGUGUACGUACAAGCAGUGGGAGCACGCUUCGGCGUGUGACUGCGUACCUUUUGUAUAAUGGGUCAGCGACUUAUAUUCUGUAGCAAGGUUAACCGAAUAGGGGAGCCGAAGGGAAACCGAGUCUUAACUGGGCGUUAAGUUGCAGGGUAUAGACCCGAAACCCGGUGAUCUAGCCAUGGGCAGGUUGAAGGUUGGGUAACACUAACUGGAGGACCGAACCGACUAAUGUUGAAAAAUUAGCGGAUGACUUGUGGCUGGGGGUGAAAGGCCAAUCAAACCGGGAGAUAGCUGGUUCUCCCCGAAAGCUAUUUAGGUAGCGCCUCGUGAAUUCAUCUCCGGGGGUAGAGCACUGUUUCGGCAAGGGGGUCAUCCCGACUUACCAACCCGAUGCAAACUGCGAAUACCGGAGAAUGUUAUCACGGGAGACACACGGCGGGUGCUAACGUCCGUCGUGAAGAGGGAAACAACCCAGACCGCCAGCUAAGGUCCCAAAGUCAUGGUUAAGUGGGAAACGAUGUGGGAAGGCCCAGACAGCCAGGAUGUUGGCUUAGAAGCAGCCAUCAUUUAAAGAAAGCGUAAUAGCUCACUGGUCGAGUCGGCCUGCGCGGAAGAUGUAACGGGGCUAAACCAUGCACCGAAGCUGCGGCAGCGACACUAUGUGUUGUUGGGUAGGGGAGCGUUCUGUAAGCCUGUGAAGGUGUACUGUGAGGUAUGCUGGAGGUAUCAGAAGUGCGAAUGCUGACAUAAGUAACGAUAAAGCGGGUGAAAAGCCCGCUCGCCGGAAGACCAAGGGUUCCUGUCCAACGUUAAUCGGGGCAGGGUGAGUCGACCCCUAAGGCGAGGCCGAAAGGCGUAGUCGAUGGGAAACAGGUUAAUAUUCCUGUACUUGGUGUUACUGCGAAGGGGGGACGGAGAAGGCUAUGUUGGCCGGGCGACGGUUGUCCCGGUUUAAGCGUGUAGGCUGGUUUUCCAGGCAAAUCCGGAAAAUCAAGGCUGAGGCGUGAUGACGAGGCACUACGGUGCUGAAGCAACAAAUGCCCUGCUUCCAGGAAAAGCCUCUAAGCAUCAGGUAACAUCAAAUCGUACCCCAAACCGACACAGGUGGUCAGGUAGAGAAUACCAAGGCGCUUGAGAGAACUCGGGUGAAGGAACUAGGCAAAAUGGUGCCGUAACUUCGGGAGAAGGCACGCUGAUAUGUAGGUGAAGCGACUUGCUCGUGGAGCUGAAAUCAGUCGAAGAUACCAGCUGGCUGCAACUGUUUAUUAAAAACACAGCACUGUGCAAACACGAAAGUGGACGUAUACGGUGUGACGCCUGCCCGGUGCCGGAAGGUUAAUUGAUGGGGUUAGCGCAAGCGAAGCUCUUGAUCGAAGCCCCGGUAAACGGCGGCCGUAACUAUAACGGUCCUAAGGUAGCGAAAUUCCUUGUCGGGUAAGUUCCGACCUGCACGAAUGGCGUAAUGAUGGCCAGGCUGUCUCCACCCGAGACUCAGUGAAAUUGAACUCGCUGUGAAGAUGCAGUGUACCCGCGGCAAGACGGAAAGACCCCGUGAACCUUUACUAUAGCUUGACACUGAACAUUGAGCCUUGAUGUGUAGGAUAGGUGGGAGGCUUUGAAGUGUGGACGCCAGUCUGCAUGGAGCCGACCUUGAAAUACCACCCUUUAAUGUUUGAUGUUCUAACGUUGGCCCGUUAUCCGGGUUGCGGACAGUGUCUGGUGGGUAGUUUGACUGGGGCGGUCUCCUCCUAAAGAGUAACGGAGGAGCACGAAGGUUGGCUAAUCCUGGUCGGACAUCAGGAGGUUAGUGCAAUGGCAUAAGCCAGCUUGACUGCGAGCGUGACGGCGCGAGCAGGUGCGAAAGCAGGUCAUAGUGAUCCGGUGGUUCUGAAUGGAAGGGCCAUCGCUCAACGGAUAAAAGGUACUCCGGGGAUAACAGGCUGAUACCGCCCAAGAGUUCAUAUCGACGGCGGUGUUUGGCACCUCGAUGUCGGCUCAUCACAUCCUGGGGCUGAAGUAGGUCCCAAGGGUAUGGCUGUUCGCCAUUUAAAGUGGUACGCGAGCUGGGUUUAGAACGUCGUGAGACAGUUCGGUCCCUAUCUGCCGUGGGCGCUGGAGAACUGAGGGGGGCUGCUCCUAGUACGAGAGGACCGGAGUGGACGCAUCACUGGUGUUCGGGUUGUCAUGCCAAUGGCACUGCCCGGUAGCUAAAUGCGGAAGAGAUAAGUGCUGAAAGCAUCUAAGCACGAAACUUGCCCCGAGAUGAGUUCUCCCUGACUCCCUGAGAGUCCUGAAGGAACGUUGAAGACGACGACGUUGAUAGGCCGGGUGUGUAAGCGCAGCGAUGCGUUGAGCUAACCGGUACUAAUGAACCGUGAGGCUUAACCUU
Molecule: ribosomal RNA, 2979 nt
Filed under: Escherichia coli
Lineage: Bacteria; Pseudomonadati; Pseudomonadota; Gammaproteobacteria; Enterobacterales; Enterobacteriaceae
Description: 23S ribosomal RNA
Rfam family: Bacterial large subunit ribosomal RNA
Source: RNAcentral